AAGCUGUACAAGUUUCUGGUGCGGCGGACGGGGAGCAAGUUCAACGCGGUGAUUCUGAAGAGGCUCUUCAUGAGCAAGGCGAACAAGCCGCCGAUUUCUCUCAAGAGGCUCAUAAAUUUCAUGUCUGGCAAGGGUGAUCAGAUUGCUGUGAUCGUGGGGACGGUGACGGACGACAAGAGGGUGUAUGAGGUUCCGGCGAUGAAGGUUACUGCGCUGAGGUUUACCGAGACUGCUAGGGCUAGGAUUGUCAAGGCUGGCGGGGAAUGCCUUACCUUUGAUCAGCUUGCUCUUAGGGCUCCUCUUGGGCAGAACACGAUGCUUUUGCGUGGUCCUAAGAAUGCUAGGGAGGCGGUGAGACACUUUGGUAAGGCUCCUGGAGUGCCCCAUAGUCACACUAAGCCUUAUGUUCGUGCAAAGGGGCGUAAGUUUGAGAAGGCUCGUGGUAGGAGGAACAGCAGAGGUUAUAAGGUUUGAAUGUCAUAUUGUUUUGUAUCCGAAACUGGUAUCUUAUGCCUUCUUAG
RNAcentral lists this unclassified non-coding RNA (521 nucleotides) under Hevea brasiliensis (rubber tree). The record is from RNAcentral. Lineage: Eukaryota; Viridiplantae; Streptophyta; Magnoliopsida; Malpighiales; Euphorbiaceae.